UUUUUAAUCCUCCUUGGCUACUAGCAAAUGCGUGGAGGAGGGGGGUGGUGUGUGAUCACGGAAGGCUUGUAUCAUGUGGACGCGCCGACAGCUUUGUUGUCAUUACUUACAAUUCCUCAUGGGGGAGACAGAAACUACGCACUAUAGCUUUAAGUCUCCCCAUUUUUCUCUUCCUGUUUAUUUCUGUAAACAUUCUGUGAACACUUUUGCAACAGCUAACAACAUUUUGAUAAGUAGAAUCUAAAUUCAGAAAUUGGUGGGGUUUUUUUGUUUUUUUUACCCGGGUAAAAAAAAGAAAGAAAUGAAACCGAUAUCAUAGAUGUAUUAUAAGACCUGCUGAUCAACUCUUGAAAUGAUUUAAAACCAGAAACAAUGAGCCCAUCAGCUUGUCAGCUCAUGGCAUGGAGUAUUGUGUUAGAACUUGUUGAAAAUCCCCACACAAAACAAUGUAAUAAUGUGCGCUAAUAUGUCUUUAUAAGUGCAGACUUGGUGUUUUAAAGGCUUAUCCACAGGUUAUUUCAUAGAAAUAAGGCCAAUGUCAAGUACAUUUAAAAGACAAUGUCAAUGUCACAAUGAUCUGGUUUACAAUCUUAUGUUGGGAAAAUGUAGUGUGGCCCUGGUGUCAGCCAUCCCAAAUGUUAAUGUUAUUUUGCCAUUCAGCCAUCUGUAACUUCAGUCCUUGAUCCUCGCCUCACCCGACCAGAGUCCUCGUCAUGUUCACGUGUUGUCACCUCAUGGUUCUCCAGUCUGUUUGAUGAAAUCUCUUAAAUGUGCAUAUACGCUUUUUCCUCAGGUGAUUAAGCUGUAAAGCACCCAACACAAGGUGCUACUUAUAAUGACUACAAACAGAAACAAAUGUCAUCAACACAUACAUUUCUGUAUUAUGCAGAGCACUGCGUUGUACUGUUUAGGACUGGCAUUGAAACAAAAGGUUACAUCUGUAUGUGUGUUAAUUUUUUUACCCAUUUUGUUUUAAGUGGUUGUGUUCACACUGCUGCACCUUUUGGGUAAAAAAUGUUCCCGUUCCAUGUCACAUCACAUUUUUCCUCAUUGCCGUGAAGACGUUUUUUGUAGUCCUUUUCUUAAUCUCAGAUCUGAUGUUAUAUAGUUGUCUUUUUGCAGCAGUUAACAUUUUAUUUUACAGCCUGCAGGUUUUUGUACUUUCAUACAGUAGACCCGUAUACACUAACAUCUGAAGAAACCUUCAACACAAAAGGCAGCAGUGUGAACAAAGCAUUUCACUUCGUCCUUGUGUAUUUUCUUUGAGCAUUGUUAAAAGAAUCCUCUGAUCUGUGUGACGGAUGGGGAACCGGAUGGAAAGGGUGGGGUCUUUGCCACAGUGACGGUGUGAAAUGGUCCGUCUCUGACGCUGGUGCUUCCUUUGGUGCUAACAACUCCUCGUUCAAACUUCAGACUUCUUCAAGAAAAAUUCAGUCAGAGACAAAAAAAGCACUGUGUUGCCAAGUACUUUCUUUUUUUUUUUUUUUUUUCACACAUCUUUGCACUGAACUUGUUCGUGCUCGCGUCCAUGGUGGUGUCUUAUCAGAGCUGUCUUGCUGUGCAGAUAUAGAAGGUGCUGGCUUUCCCCCCCUUUUUCAUUGAUUUGUUGGGUUUGGUUUACCCGCCUGGGCUUGCUCUGAAAAAGCAAAUAGAGGGAAUUUUAAUAAGUCAUAGAGUGUGACGGGGCUGAUGCUGUGAAAAAUAAAACUGGUGAGAAAUCGGGUGCGCUAGCUGCAAUUUCCUGCCUCUGUAAGAGAAACUCACACUUAUUAAAGGUGGCUCUGGUGAGAUGUUUGCGCCUCCUCAGAGUCGGAUUGAGAAUUGCCUAUGAAACUUCACAUACUUGGUUUAGUUUUAAUCCUCCUAAAGUUCUUUUAAACUUCUCGGCACCAGAGUGUGUGUACUUUGAAUACUGCUGGCUGCGUCUUCCACCUCCUGUGCAACAGAAUGGAUCGACGUUCGGGCUGUUUUUAUAUCUGCAGCGACAUUGAGACAUCAAUGCCGCUACGCUUGGCAGCCAAGCUAAGAGGCUUACAGGAGGCUCGACUCUGCCUCGCUGCAGAUAGGGGUCGGUGUCGGCUCCAAAAGGUAUCCUGCAUGGAGUGAGGCCGUGUUUUCUGACAGAGCUUCAGCUCUCGGGCCUCAUCCUCUCUGCUCAGACCCUGAACACCUGUCAGCCUGUUUGUUAUCUCUGGCUGGGAUCUGUGUGAGGCUUGGGUGAGCUGCGUGAAAUUUUGAUUCGAGAUGGUUUCGCCUCUUCAGGCGGACUGUCAGUAGUAGGCUAUACCACACCACCACAGUAUGAAGACGAGUAAACACUUUAUUCUUCUUUGUACACAGUCUGUGAACGCGUGGACGUCUCAGAGUGCUCUAAAGGCUGCAACAUUCAUUUCAAGCUUGUUGGCAGCAGAAUCAGUCUUGGCAACUUCAAACAUGGCUCUUCUAUGUUCACUCUACUGUAGUAAGUGUCUACUCUGGGAGUAUGAUAGCUUUCUUUGUUGCCCAGCUCACGCUCUCUCUUAUUUCUGGGUCCUCUUAGCUCAGUAAUCUCACAGGCAGGCUUUGCGUGUGGCAGAGAAGGAAGACCUCAAGGGUUGCGUGUGGCCACAUGGACUAAAACACUCCAAAAAACAUUAUGUCUGGCCGGGGUGUCGUAGCACUGCACUGCUGCAGCUGAUGCCUGCUCGGAAAAGCGACAGCAAAGGAAAUGAAAUUGAUUGUUUUACCACUUCAGGAUCGCGACUGUUGCUUUUAGAGAUUGUUCACUGGUGGUAGGAUCGGCAAGGUUGUUCAAAGACGCACUGGUUGAAAGCGACUCCCCUUGACUUUUGUGUACAAGUGCUAAAUUGAGAUUGUUGGCUUCAGUAAUUCCCAAACAAAUUGGGAAAUCGGUCAAGGGUUCCCAAACCUCACAGUGGCGUGCCCCCAUGAGCCAUAGCAGAUGUUGUCAAUAAAUCUGUCCAGUUUUCUUUUUAAUUACUGUUAUUUAUUUAUGCUGAAAAGGUGACUUCUGCAGUAGUUUGGAAUUAUUAAAAAGAGAUUUGCUCUCCUUUUUGCUCACAAAUUUGUAUUUUUCUCUUUUUUUGUGAAAUCCGAACUCAUAAAAUGGCUUAAAUUAUGAAUUUGCAAUUGAAUUCCCUUUUUGUAUUAUUCCAGGUGUGUUAAUGGCUACGCAGUGUUCCGUCUGUGUAUAACAGACACACAGGCGUCUUGUUUUUUUAGGUCAAGAGCAAAAAAAAAAAAAAAUGUGAAUCUGGCAAUGUGGUUAUUGUAUUUGCAAGGAAGAUGUGCAAUAUACGGUUCUCAGAUGGUUCCAGGUUUCAGCGUAGAACUUUUUAUUUUUAUUUUUUUUUACUGUUUUUCGUUUUUCCAGUCAGUUCCUCAGGUCACUAAAUGCCUUCUGGUCCUGAGGGUGACCAGGAAAUCUCAGAACAUACACUAAUGCACCCGAAAUACAAAACGACUGGAUUUUAUUUUAGUCUUCUCUCUCUCUUUUCGUUCCUUCCCCCUUUUUUUCUGUGACAUUUUUCUCAGUUAUUUUUUUUUUUUAUUUUCAGGUUAACACAGGCACUUAUUCAGGUGUCCUUUCCCUUUCCUCCUUUUGUGUUAUUGUUAUUUAUUGCACAUGUAAUGAACUGGUUUCCAUUGCCACAUUGAAUUCAAGUUUUGGGUCUAGAACGGGGCUGGAAUUUCUUACGUACAAAACUACAGAAGCUUUUGUCAAAACCUAAGUGUGUAUUUCAUCAAUAAAUGCCUUUAAAAGUG
Molecule: long non-coding RNA, 3765 nt
Organism: Sander lucioperca (pikeperch)
Lineage: Eukaryota; Metazoa; Chordata; Actinopteri; Perciformes; Percidae
Exons: 2
Source: RefSeq, a predicted model, not a curated record